RNAcentral lists this ribosomal RNA (253 nucleotides) under uncultured bacterium. RNAcentral describes it as "partial 16S ribosomal RNA". It matches the Rfam family "Bacterial small subunit ribosomal RNA", at positions 524 to 776 of the family's 1533-position model. The record is from RNAcentral.
UACGAAGGGUGCAAGCGUUAAUCGGAAUUACUGGGCGUAAAGCGUGCGUAGGCGGUUUCUUAAGUCCGUUGUGAAAGCCCUGGGCUCAACCUGGGAACUGCGAUGGAUACUGAGGAGCUGGAGUACGGUAGAGGAAGGUGGAAUUCCCGGUGUAGCGGUGAAAUGCGUAGAGAUCGGGAGGAACACCGGUGGUGUAGACGGCUCUCUGGACAGUAACUGACGCUGAGACACGAAAGCGUGGGUAGCAAACAGG